CCUACGGGGGGCAGCAGUGAGGAAUAUUGGUCAAUGGACGAGAGUCUGAACCAGCCAAGUAGCGUGAAGGAUGACUGCCCUAUGGGUUGUAAACUUCUUUUAUAUGGGAAUAAAACGUUCCACGUGUGGGAUUUUGUAUGUACCAUAUGAAUAAGGAUCGGCUAACUCCGUGCCAGCAGCCGCGGUAAUACGGAGGAUCCGAGCGUUAUCCGGAUUUAUUGGGUUUAAAGGGAGCGUAGGUGGAUUGUUAAGUCAGUUGUGAAAGUUUUCGGCUCAACCGUAAAAUUGCAGUUGAAACUGGCAGUCUUGAGUACAGUAGAGGUGGGCGGAAUUCGUGGUGUAGCGGUGAAAUGCUUAGAUAUCACGAAGAACUCCGAUUGCGAAGGCAGUUCACUGGACUGCAACUGACACUGAGGCUCGAAAGUGUGGGUAUCAAACAGGAUUAGAUACCCUAGUAGUC
RNAcentral lists this ribosomal RNA (460 nucleotides) under uncultured bacterium. Its description in RNAcentral is "partial 16S ribosomal RNA". It matches the Rfam family "Bacterial small subunit ribosomal RNA", at positions 338 to 795 of the family's 1533-position model. The record is from RNAcentral.